Monodelphis domestica (gray short-tailed opossum) is the source of this 1173-nucleotide non-coding RNA. Lineage: Eukaryota; Metazoa; Chordata; Mammalia; Didelphimorphia; Didelphidae. The record is from RefSeq and is a predicted model, not a curated record.
UAUACCUCUGUGUCCAAUGGCUGGCUUCAACUACUGAUUGAACAGAAACUAAAAAACAAAUGGUCUUAGGGACCAGACAUAACCCCUGCUCUAUUACCACUAUGGGGGAACAAGAGGAGAUUGAGACCUAUAUGCCAAAAAGAUGAUUCCAGGAAAACUUUCCUCCAUGGGGUGGAAAGCAAGGUGGGCCCUACAGAAACUCAAGCCUAAAGAGAGGAGUUAUGAAAGAGUGGUUCCAUCUAGAUGAAGAAAGGAACUAGAAAGAAAUGAAGAAACUGAGGACAUUUGAUGCCCAUGAAAACUCUUUACCGAGCCACUUAGUUUGAGCAAGACACAAUGGUCACAGAAUCUGGAAUCCCAGUUGUGGUUUAAGCCAUCAUAGAUGGUAUCAAGAAUACUCCUGGGACCUUUUGUUGUGAAGAAAAGGAAUGAGAUUCCAAGUGCUCAGGAUCUAACAUACAGAGUACAAGACCAUCCUGACCAUGCUCAUGAGAGCCCUACCAAGGUAGGCUGCAGAACCACUCCCAUCAUUUUCUUGGCCCUGUUCUGCCUGUCAUGCCUAUAUGGUGAGAGUCCUCCUUUACUGGCUGAAGCAUUCCUGCUACCUGCUCCAGGUCUGCUAGGGAGAGACCCAUGCUGUGCAAACAUGAGAGACUCCAAGCAGCUCAGGCCUAAUGGGUCCUCAGCUGGGGAGCUCCCACCUGGCUGCCUCCCAAGGAUCAAUGACAGACACCCUGCAGAGCGCUGUGAACCAAAGGAAAUCAACUAGCAAAAAGAGAGUAUGUUUUAUAAAUUGGCUGCUGAGAAGCUGGGAAACCUCUGAUUAGCCCCUGCUGACAAAGGUACAAGGAUAUCAUCACUGCUUUUAUUACACAAAAGGCAUAUGUGUGUAAAGUUAUGGGUGGCUGGCUGGUUGUUGUUGUUGUUGUUUUUUAAACUUUCACCUUCUGUCUUAGAAUCCAUACUAUCUGUUCCAAAGUGGGCAAUGGGGCUUAAGUGACUUGCCCAAGGUCACACAGCUAGGAAGUAUCUGAGGCCAAAUUUGAACCCAGGACCACCAGGCCUGGCUCUCUGUCCACCUAACUGCCCCUAGUAGUUUGGGUGUUUGUGUGUUUAUAUAUAUUUUUAUUUACCAAUUACAUAUAAUAAAUUAAGUUUUUCAAAUAAAAUUAU